UACAGAGGCCUCGAGCGUUAGGCGGAAUCACUGGGCUUAAAGCGUGUGUAGGCGGACUUCUAAGUACCUUGUGAAAUCCCACGGCUUACCCGUGGAACGGCUGGGUAUACUGGUUGUCUUGAGCCACUUAGGGGCUACCGGAACAAAUGGUGGAGCGGUGAAAUGUGUAGAUAUCAUUUGGAACGCCAAAGGUGAAAACAGACAGCUGGGGAUGUGCUGACGCUGAGACACGAAAGCCAGGGGAGCGAACGGG
This 253-nucleotide ribosomal RNA is filed under the name uncultured bacterium. RNAcentral describes it as "partial 16S ribosomal RNA". It matches the Rfam family "Bacterial small subunit ribosomal RNA", at positions 524 to 776 of the family's 1533-position model. The record is from RNAcentral.